GACGAACGCUGGCGGCGUGCUUAACACAUGCAAGUCGAACGGAAAGGCCCUGCUUUUGUGGGGUGCUCGAGUGGCGAACGGGUGAGUAACACGUGAGUAACCUGCCCUUGACUUUGGGAUAACUUCAGGAAACUGAGGCUAAUACCGGAUAGGAGCUCCUGCCGCAUGGUGGGGGUUGGAAAGUUUCGGCGGUUGGGGAUGGACUCGCGGCUUAUCAGCUUGUUGGUGGGGUAGUGGCUUACCAAGGCUUUGACGGGUAGCCGGCCUGAGAGGGUGACCGGCCACAUUGGGACUGAGAUACGGCCCAGACUCCUACGGGAGGCAGCAGUGGGGAAUAUUGCACAAUGGGCGGAAGCCUGAUGCAGCAACGCCGCGUGCGGGAUGACGGCCUUCGGGUUGUAAACCGCUUUCGCCUGUGACGAAGCGUGAGUGACGGUAAUGGGUAAAGAAGCACCGGCUAACUACGUG
Molecule: ribosomal RNA, 468 nt
Filed under: uncultured bacterium
Lineage: Bacteria
Description: partial 16S ribosomal RNA
Rfam family: Bacterial small subunit ribosomal RNA
Source: RNAcentral